Molecule: ribosomal RNA, 499 nt
Filed under: uncultured bacterium
Lineage: Bacteria
Description: partial 16S ribosomal RNA
Rfam family: Bacterial small subunit ribosomal RNA
Source: RNAcentral
AUUGAACGCUAGCGGGAUGCCUUACACAUGCAAGUCGAACGGCAGCGCGGACUUCGGUCUGGCGGCGAGUGGCGAACGGGUGAGUAAUGUAUCGGAACGCGCCCAGUAGCGGGGGAUAACUACUCGAAAGAGUAGCUAAUACCGCAUACGCCCUACGGGGGAAAGGGGGGGAUCGCAAGACCUCUCACUAUUGGAGCGGCCGAUAUCGGAUUAGCUAGUUGGUGAGGUAAAGGCUCACCAAGGCGACGAUCCGUAGCUGGUUUGAGAGGACGACCAGACAAGCUGGGAAUGGGAUACGGCCAGACUCCGACGGGAGGAAGCAGUGGGGAAUUUUGGACAAUGGACGCAAGGCUGAUCCAGCCAUUCCGCGUGCAGGAUGAAGGCCCUCGGGUUGUAAACUGCUUUUGUACAGAACGAAAAGGCUCUGGUUAAUACCUGGAGCUCAUGACGGUACUGUAAGAAUAAGCACCGGCUAACUACGUGCCAGCAGCCGCGGUAA